RNAcentral lists this unclassified non-coding RNA (320 nucleotides) under uncultured Ascomycota. RNAcentral describes it as "sequence contains ITS1". The stretch from base 1 to 105 matches the Rfam family "5.8S ribosomal RNA", at positions 50 to 154 of the family's 154-position model. Lineage: Eukaryota; Fungi; Ascomycota. The record is from RNAcentral.
GAAAUGCGAUACGUAAUGUGAAUUGCAGAAUUCAGUGAAUCAUCGAAUCUUUGAACGCACAUUGCGCCCGCCAGCAUUCUGGCGGGCAUGCCUGUCCGAGCGUCAUUUCAACCCAUCGAGCCCCCGGGCUUGCGUUGGGGUUCUGCGGCUGCCGCAGGCCCUGAAACCCAGUGGCGGUCUCGCUAGCAGCACCGAGCGCAGUAGCAGUAUUUCGCUUUGGUGGGGCGGCGGGUUCCGGCCGUAAAAAAUUUACAGUGGGCUUGCCCGCUGUAACUUUCCAGGUUGACCUCGGAUCAGGUAGGAAUACCCGCUGAACUUAA